Molecule: ribosomal RNA, 404 nt
Filed under: uncultured bacterium
Lineage: Bacteria
Description: partial 16S ribosomal RNA
Rfam family: Bacterial small subunit ribosomal RNA
Source: RNAcentral
GACGAACGCUGGCGGCGUGCUUAACACAUGCACUUCGAGCGGAGCGGCGCACGGGUGAGUAACGCGUGAGUAACUUCCCCCCUCUCUGGGAUAACAGUUGGAAACGGCUGCUAAUACCGGAUAGUGGGGGUUGACUCGCGUCCUAUAAGCUUAUUGGUGGGGUAGUGGCCUACCAAGGCGACGACGGGUAGACGGCCUGAGCGGGCGGACGGCCACAUGGGGCUGAGAUACGGGCCAAACUCCUACGGGAGGAAGCAGUGGGGAAUAUUGCACAAUUGGGGAAACCCUGAUGCAGCAACGCGCGUGCGGGAUGACGGCCUUCGGGUUGUAAACCGCUUUCAGCCAUGACGCGGUAGUGGCAGAAGAAGCACCGGCUAACUACGUGCCAGCAGCCGCGGUAAUAC